This is a long non-coding RNA of Biomphalaria glabrata, 708 nucleotides long. RefSeq lists it as uncharacterized. The record is from RefSeq and is a predicted model, not a curated record. Lineage: Eukaryota; Metazoa; Mollusca; Gastropoda; Planorbidae. The transcript is spliced from 2 exons.
UUCAUGGAAUCUACAUGGAACCUGGACGCGUACCGCCGAUCUCAAAAACGGCUUUAACGACUUACCUAGAAAUUAAACAGUUGGUGUAUAGGCCUAUUACUGAGAAAAUAAUUACUAGCUCGUUGGCCACACAUGGAAUACUCAAGUCUGAUUUAUCAUUUUUCAGCUGAAAGAGGCGGAGAUAAAAUUUCUACAAAAGUUUUUAUGUUGUUUUUCUUUCUAAAAUUAAUUGUAAUUUUUAAAUUAAAAAAUCUUACAUUUUUUUUUGUCUGUAAACAAUAGAACAAGUCAUCUAUACAGUUUUCAGUACUACGUAUAUAUGGCGCCCACACUAGAUGUAAGCAUACACUUAAUGUACACACACACGAGGCCUACACUUGAUGUACAUAUGACAUUGACCUAUAAAUAUGUAAGCACGAUAUAGGUCUGCCUCUGAUUUAUGCAUGACAUGGGCCUAUAUUGAUGUAUAAAUGGCAAAGGCUUACAAUUGAUGUGUACAUGAAAUAGGACUACAUUCAGUGUACAAAUGACAUAGGCCUUCACUUGGUGUACAAAUGACAUAGGCCUUCAUUUGGUGUACAAAUGACAUAGGCCUACAGUUGACAUAGGCUUAUACUUAUAAUUAAAUUGUACUAUUGAUUUUCAAAUGAUUAAAAUAUGAAAAAUAUUCACAAAUUCCUAUUUAGAAAUUAACACUAUCUGCCCUUA